This is a non-coding RNA of Tulasnella sp. 403, 95 nucleotides long. The record is from the annotation of a GenBank genome assembly. NCBI's taxonomy places the organism in Eukaryota, Fungi, Basidiomycota, Agaricomycetes, Cantharellales, Tulasnellaceae.
GGCGCGGUGGCGGAGUGGUUAACGCGACAGAUUAGAAUUAGUUCUAAUCCAUCUGUUCCGGUUUCCGGGCGUAGGUUCGAAUCCUACCCGCGUCG